UUUUUUUUUUUUUUUUGUGGUUUUGUUUGUAAUUUCUGGCAGUAUAUUAGAUAAUACCCCUAUCCAAUGUUCACAUGGAAAAGUCCCAGUGUCAAAAGUUGGCUCCAUUAAGCGGUUGUCUGCUGAAUCUUGGACCAAAUUGUUCUCUAGGGUAUCUACAAGUCUAAUUUGUCUCACUUAUAUUCAGAGAACUAUAUCUUGUCAUAUUAGUGUUUUCCCUAGCUAAUAGUAUUUCUGUAUAGCCUAAAGGUGAAGAUGCCUUCAGUGUGCUAGGUCUCCCAUAGAAAUCAAGUUGUUAGGCACCAAAAAGUCAUGCGCAUGUGUACAGCAAGGCACUGUUGAUAAAUAAACUUACAUUUCAUAAAUGUAAAAAAAUGAGAACAUUGCCCCUUUUUAGUUAAUUGUGUUGUGUUGACACUAAAUGUGCAGUAGGUAAAAAGAUGAUUGAACAUAAUUAAUCAAACCAGUAAAAUGCAAUAAAAAAUGAGUUGAAAAUUUAUUUCAUUAAAAUCUUUCAUGCUUCAUUAUACUGGAAUGGCAAAAGAGGAUCCAUAUAGCUGAUCCCAACUUGUUUUGAAUUAAGGCUUUGUCGUUGUUGUAUGCUUCAUUAUGGUUUAACUAAAAAUGCUGUGAAAGUUUCAGCACAAUAUGUUUCUCUAGCUGAGAAGCAGUCAGCUAUUUGUUUCUUUAAUAAUCUUCAUUUCUUUGGCUUGUGCACAGGAGCUAUGUUCGAACAGAUGCCAAGAUUACUUUGGGGGAAGAAAAGAAGCUUCACCUUUACAACUCCAUAGAAUGAUGAAAAUGGGAAAUUGUAUUCAAGAAAUUGAAAAACAGAGUACAUUGGAAGCUAGAGUAUGAAAUUGCUGACGUCUUUGUUACAUGUAAGGGCAAAGGGAAACCAAAGAUAAAAUAAAAAUAAAAAUAGUAUAGAAACAUUGGACAUCUGAAAGUGAGGGGACAAAGGAGUUUUGGUUGGAUAGAGAAAUGUUGAAUUGAUUAUUUAAUAAAAAUUGAAGAAAUAAUAUUCUGCUUUGGUACUACAAUAGCCAAAGGGUGAAGGCUUAAGGCAUGCAGCAAGAAAAAGAAGUCAUUUUAAGUAAGAUUAUAGCAAUGAGUGCAGAGGCACAAAUAGUAAACAUAGUACAAGUUCCUUUUCUUGUUUUUAAGAUUGGAAUAAGGCUGAAAUUAUGGGUCUUCUUAAAUUCAGACCUACCUUAGUAAGUCAAUGUGCAGGGGACUGUUAGAUCUUGUGUGGUACUCACCUCAAGUGCCUCUCACGUUAGGAAAAGCGUGGAUCAAUAUAAUUGCCUCACCUUGAGGGUUCCAAGGCACCUUUACUUGCCUGAUCGCCAGAUGAGUGCCUGUAUUGCCUAUGAGAACAGUAUUUGUGUUCAAAAACUUAUAUUGUGUGCAUGUAUGUGACUUUCUAUUUUCACCUAGUAAACCCAUUAUUUCUUAGUUUAAAGAAAUGGUGUCUAAUUGUCUAUCCACUUUUGAUUAAGAGGCAUGUUUCUGAUUAUGUUUUUCUUUCUGAGCUCAUGUUGGACUGCUUCAAGUUCUUUUUCCUUUUCCCCCUUUUUUCUGUCUCUGGUUUAUUACUGGGCUGUGCAACCAUUGCUGAAUCUUCUGUUAAAUGCUUAUUAAAUUCAGUAUGGUGGAGGGCCAACACUGA
This 1672-nucleotide unclassified non-coding RNA is filed under the name Hevea brasiliensis (rubber tree). The record is from RNAcentral. Lineage: Eukaryota; Viridiplantae; Streptophyta; Magnoliopsida; Malpighiales; Euphorbiaceae.